GACGAACGCUGGCGGCGUGCUUAACACAUGCGAGUCGAACGGAAAGGCCCUGCUUUUGUGGGGUGCUCGAGUGGCGAACGGGUGAGUAACACGUGAGUAACCUGCCCUUGACUUUGGGAUAACUUCAGGAAACUGGGGCUAAUACCGGAUAGGAGCUCCUGCUGCAUGGUGGGGGUUGGAAAGUUUCGGCGGUUGGGGAUGGACUCGCGGCUUAUCAGCUUGUUGGUGGGGUAGUGGCUUACCAAGGCUUUGACGGGUAGCCGGCCUGAGAGGGUGACCGGCCACAUUGGGCCUGAGAUACGGCCCAGACUCCUACGGGCGGCAGCAGUGGGGAGUAUGGCAGAAUGGGCGGAAGCCUGAUGCAGCAACGCCGCGUGCGGGAUGCCGGCCUUCGGGUUGUAAACCGCUUUCGCCGGUGACGAAGCGUGAGUGACGGUAAUGGGUAAAGAAGCACCGGCUAACUACGUG
Molecule: ribosomal RNA, 468 nt
Filed under: uncultured bacterium
Lineage: Bacteria
Description: partial 16S ribosomal RNA
Rfam family: Bacterial small subunit ribosomal RNA
Source: RNAcentral